This 213-nucleotide ribosomal RNA is filed under the name uncultured bacterium. Its description in RNAcentral is "partial 16S ribosomal RNA". It matches the Rfam family "Bacterial small subunit ribosomal RNA", at positions 29 to 226 of the family's 1533-position model. The record is from RNAcentral.
AACGAACGCUGGCGGCGUGGAUUAGGCAUGCAAGUCGAACGCGAAAGGGGAGCAAUCCCUGAGUAGAGUGGCGAACUGGUGAGUAACAGGUGGGCAACGUGCCUCAAAGUGGGGGACAACUCCGAGAAAUCGGAGCUAAUACCGCAUGUGGUGUCAAGGGCUUUGGCUCCUGACAUUAAAGGCGCAACCGCAAGGUUGUGGUCGCUUUGGGAU